RNAcentral lists this non-coding RNA (171 nucleotides) under Bacilli bacterium. RNAcentral describes it as "6S RNA". It matches the Rfam family "6S / SsrS RNA". Rfam says of the family: E. coli 6S RNA was the first non coding RNA to be sequenced, but its function was unknown until recently. It consists of 184 nucleotides that fold into an extended hairpin structure with a large single-stranded internal bulge. The 6S RNA specifically associates with RNA polymerase holoenzyme containing the sigma70 specificity factor. The record is from RNAcentral. Lineage: Bacteria; Bacillati; Bacillota; Bacilli.
AAUUACCUAAAGUUAGAGUUUAAAUUUUAAAACCGACUAUUUGUGAUUAUUGGGAAUCUAAUUGGUUUGUGGUGUCGAAAACUUUCCAUAGAGAAAGGAUCCUAAAGCAAAUCAUGUGAUGCCCACCUCGUGCGAGCGGGCUUUAUCACGCAGACUCUCUUUAGGCUUUUU